RNAcentral lists this ribosomal RNA (465 nucleotides) under Vreelandella stevensii. Its description in RNAcentral is "partial 16S ribosomal RNA". It matches the Rfam family "Bacterial small subunit ribosomal RNA", at positions 338 to 795 of the family's 1533-position model. The record is from RNAcentral. Lineage: Bacteria; Pseudomonadati; Pseudomonadota; Gammaproteobacteria; Oceanospirillales; Halomonadaceae.
CCUACGGGUGGCAGCAGUGGGGAAUAUUGGACAAUGUGCGAAAGCCUGAUCCAGCCAUGCCGCGUGUGUGAAGAAGGCCUUCGGGUUGUAAAGCACUUUCAGUGGGGAAGAAAGCCUUGGGGCUAAUACCCUCGAGGAAGGACAUCACCCACAGAAGAAGCACCGGCUAACUCCGUGCCAGCAGCCGCGGUAAUACGGAGGGUGCGAGCGUUAAUCGGAAUUACUGGGCGUAAAGCGCGCGUAGGCGGUCUGAUAAGCCGGUUGUGAAAGCCCCGGGCUCAACCUGGGAACGGCAUCCGGAACUGUCAGGCUAGAGUGCAGGAGAGGAAGGUAGAAUUCCCGGUGUAGCGGUGAAAUGCGUAGAGAUCGGGAGGAAUACCAGUGGCGAAGGCGGCCUUCUGGACUGACACUGACGCUGAGGUGCGAAAGCGUGGGUAGCAAACAGGAUUAGAUACCCCAGUAGUC